Non-coding RNA from Salmo salar (Atlantic salmon), 84 nucleotides. NCBI's taxonomy places the organism in Eukaryota, Metazoa, Chordata, Actinopteri, Salmoniformes, Salmonidae. The record is from Rfam.
AGCUUGUGUUGAGAGGCGGAGUCUUGGGCAAUUGCCAGCAAUCUUAAGGGGCAUUGCACUUGUCUCGGUCUGACAGCACUGGCC